Non-coding RNA from Anolis carolinensis (green anole), 374 nucleotides. NCBI's taxonomy places the organism in Eukaryota, Metazoa, Chordata, Lepidosauria, Squamata, Anolidae. The record is from Ensembl.
UAGCCGGGGCGAGAGAAAGGCGCGUGAGCGGUGGUGUGAAAGGUGCGAGAGGCUGAAAGGGCGCGUGGAGCGUGCGAGUGAGUGAGUGAGUGAGAGGCGCGCGAAUGAGGCCCCGCGCUGCGACGUUUACAAUUCUGUUACACGUUGAUCUUAUUUGAUCGGGGCGAAGGGCCUGCCGCCGCGUUCUCGCCCCGAAAUGAGAAGAGCCCCUUCCCGUGAAGCCCUUGCCAAGGGCGCUGUACGGAGAAGAAGCUGGUCAACCGAGCCGGCGGCACGUUUUGAGUCGGAAGUGAUGAAUUGAUCAGAUAGAUGAGGCCCCGAGGCUGGGCCCGCCCUCCUCUCGGCCGAUGUGUAUCGAGGCGAUUCUGAUCCGA